RNAcentral lists this ribosomal RNA (388 nucleotides) under Escherichia coli. RNAcentral describes it as "bacterial SSU rRNA". It matches the Rfam family "Bacterial small subunit ribosomal RNA", at positions 1 to 383 of the family's 1533-position model. The record is from RNAcentral. Lineage: Bacteria; Pseudomonadati; Pseudomonadota; Gammaproteobacteria; Enterobacterales; Enterobacteriaceae.
UUAAAUUGAAGAGUUUGAUCAUGGCUCAGAUUGAACGCUGGCGGCAGGCCUAACACAUGCAAGUCGAACGGUAACAGGAAGCAGCUUGCUGCUUCGCUGACGAGUGGCGGACGGGUGAGUAAUGUCUGGGAAACUGCCUGAUGGAGGGGGAUAACUACUGGAAACGGUAGCUAAUACCGCAUAACGUCGCAAGACCAAAGAGGGGGACCUUCGGGCCUCUUGCCAUCGGAUGUGCCCAGAUGGGAUUAGCUAGUAGGUGGGGUAACGGCUCACCUAGGCGACGAUCCCUAGCUGGUCUGAGAGGAUGACCAGCCACACUGGAACUGAGACACGGUCCAGACUCCUACGGGAGGCAGCAGUGGGGAAUAUUGCACAAUGGGCGCAAGCC